UAGAAUGAGAGAUAAAGAUCACUGUAAAAACAUUAGAAAGAUCACAGUUUUGAUGAAAACGUGAUAAAGAGAUGCGAGGUGAAUUUUUAAUGUCACUUUGCUAAUAAAACCGUGAUAAUUAAUAUUUAUUAUCACAGUUUUAAUAGAACCGUGAUUAUAACUUUUUAAUUUAACCACAUUUUGCUACAAGCAUAAUAAAAAUGUGUCUAUUUAACCACAUUUUUCUAUAAGCGUGAUAAAAUGUGUCUAUUGUAAUCACGGUUCGUUACAACCAUUAUAGAAAUGUGUCUAUUUUAAAACACACUUUCUUAUAAGCGUGAUAAAAUGGGUCUAUUUGAACCACACUUCGUUGCAACCGUGAUAAAAUCUUUCUUGUUUGAUAUAACUACAUUUUUUAAAAGGGUGAUUAAAUGUAUUUGCUUAUUUUUAUACGCUUUCAUUUACAAGCGUGAUAAAUACUUCAUGGGCCCCAACAAGAAACCAAAUUUGAAUCCAUAAAAAUUUGAAAUUAUUUGGGUUUUACUUUCCCCCCAAAACAGUCAGUCGCCUCUUUUUUAGGUAAAUAUGGUUGCCCUCUUUCUUCUUGGCCUCCAUACCAUAGAUCUUACACCCCUCUCUCUCUCAACUUUCAGGAAAACUGAUGUCGCUCAUGGCGCAAUUCUGACCACGACCCUUCGACCUCCAAUCGGGCACAACCAUAGGCUGAUCUCCACCUGGUCAUCGGUAAAUCGUUUAAUUUCAGUCUCUAUCUUUUUUUUGCUCGGCAAUUUCGGUCUCUAUAUAUCACCAUCUCCUUACGGCUUGCAAAUUGAUUUUGUUUCCUCUUAGAAUCAUAAUCUUGGUCUAGGAUCGAAGGGCCUUUUACUCCCAAUUUAAAUACUCUUUGUUCCCUUUGAAUUGGCAGCGUAAGAGGUGGAGACCUUUAUUAACUAAGCAUGUACGUAGAAGGAUGAAGGAGUACGUACGUACACUUGUGACAUGCCAGGCGAUGCAAACUUUCUGGGUUGAAGAAGAAGUUGCUUGAGUUGUUAUAAAUUUUUUUUUUUUAGUUAUGUUCUUAUAGCUUUUUAGUUUUGUUUUAGACGCGGGUUAUUGUACUAGUUGAUAUAUAUUGUAAAUGUACCAUACUUUGAAAGAUUGAUGAGUUAAUUAAUAAACCUUUUCCUUUUUGCA
This is a long non-coding RNA of Rhododendron vialii, 1173 nucleotides long. RefSeq lists it as uncharacterized. The transcript has 2 exons. NCBI's taxonomy places the organism in Eukaryota, Viridiplantae, Streptophyta, Magnoliopsida, Ericales, Ericaceae. The record is from RefSeq and is a predicted model, not a curated record.